CUUCCAGGUUAAAUGUUACACUUUAUGUGUUGCGAUAGCAAUCGAUCACUCCAUUUGCACGCCUCUGAAAGCUACACGAAACAUGAACUGAUAUGUGCUUAAAUUAAAAGAGUAACAUCAUCCGUUGAUUAUCAAGAAGAAAAAAGGACACAAAAUGAAAAUGCAAACCUUUGAUUAUUAUUCUCCUUCUACAAUACACACAUCUCUCAAAUUGAAAGUUCACACAGUCAUAUCUACCGAGGAAUUGUUCAUAAGGCACAUAUAUAUAGUCAAUUAAUGCCACGUUUUAAUUUUUUUUUGUAGGAAUUGAAAGGCUAAGAAGAUCUUUUGAUAGGAAAAUAGUAAAUGAUUG
RNAcentral lists this long non-coding RNA (352 nucleotides) under Trifolium pratense (red clover). RNAcentral's name for it is "long non-coding RNA (TPRA_LNC007541)". Lineage: Eukaryota; Viridiplantae; Streptophyta; Magnoliopsida; Fabales; Fabaceae. The record is from RNAcentral.